RNAcentral lists this ribosomal RNA (432 nucleotides) under uncultured bacterium. RNAcentral's name for it is "partial 16S ribosomal RNA". It matches the Rfam family "Bacterial small subunit ribosomal RNA", at positions 29 to 507 of the family's 1533-position model. The record is from RNAcentral.
AACGAACGCUGGCGGCAGGCCUAACACAUGCAAGUCGAGCGAGGACUUCGGUUCUAGCGGCGGACGGGUGAGUAACGCGUGGGAAUGUGCCCUUCUCUACGGAAUAGCCCUGGGAAACUGGGAGUAAUACCGUAUACGCCCUAUUGGGGAAAGAUUUAUCGGAGAAGGAUCAGCCCGCGUUGGAUUAGGUAGUUGGUGGGGUAAUGGCCUACCAAGCCGACGAUCCAUAGCUGGUUUGAGAGGAUGAUCAGCCACACUGGGACUGAGACACGGCCCAGACUCCUACGGGAGGCAGCAGUGGGGAAUCUUAGACAAUGGGGGCAACCCUGAUCUAGCAUGCCGCGUGAGUGAUGAAGGCCUUAGGGUUGUAAAGCUCUUUCAGCUGGGAAGAUAAUGACGGUACCAGCAGAAGAAGCCCCGGCUAACUCCGUG